Molecule: long non-coding RNA, 857 nt
Filed under: Hordeum vulgare
Lineage: Eukaryota; Viridiplantae; Streptophyta; Magnoliopsida; Poales; Poaceae
Description: long non-coding RNA (HVUL_LNC009833)
Source: RNAcentral
AUGGAUAUGGGUUAGGUGACCUAGCACAUGGGGGAUGGGCCAAUUUAUUUGGUCGGCUUAGACGAAUUGGAAGGGUGUGUUGUUUUAGGCGACUUGGGAAAUGGGUUAGGUGACCUAGCACACCGGGGAUGGACGAGUUGAUUGGUCGGCUUAGGUGAAUUGAAAGGGUGUGUUGUUUUAGGCGACUUGGCCAAUGUAUUAGACGACCUAGCAUACCAGGGAUGGACGAGUUGUUUGGUCGGCUUAGGCGAUUGGAAGGGUACGAUGUUUUAGGCGACCAGGUCAAUGGGUUAGGCGAGCUAGUAUGCCAGGGAUGAGCGAGUUUGUUGGUCGUCUUAGGCGAUUUUGAAAGGGUUUGUUGUUUUAGGUGACAUGGAGAUGGGUUAGGUGACCUAGCACACGGUGGAUGGGGAGUUUGUUUGGUCGGAUUAGCCGAAUUGGAAGGGUGUGUUGUUUUAGGUGACUUGGGCAAUGGGUUCGGUGACCUAGCACACCGGGGAUGGAUUAGUUGGUUGGUCGGCUUAGGCGAUUGGAAGGGUAUGAUGUUUUAGGCAACUAGGUCGAUGGGUUAGCCGAGCUAGUACGUCAGGGAUGGGGGAGUUGGUUAGUCGGCUUAGGCUAUUUGGAAGGGUGUGUUGUUUUAGGCGACAUGGUUUAGGCGUGUAUUAGGUAUCUCCGUCUGUGGAUUAGGCGUGUGAGCGACUUAGUGAUUGGAUUUGAUCGAGUUGGGCGUGGGAUGCAAUGACUAUAUAGUGGAGUGGUAAGUGACUCCACUCGUUUGGUGGUCGUGGGCGACUUAGUUCGGUCGGCUCGGUUUGUGGAUGAGCAGGGCGACUAUGAGUUGGGAUUGAGACCAC